This 468-nucleotide ribosomal RNA is filed under the name uncultured bacterium. RNAcentral describes it as "partial 16S ribosomal RNA". It matches the Rfam family "Bacterial small subunit ribosomal RNA", at positions 37 to 507 of the family's 1533-position model. The record is from RNAcentral.
CCCUCUCCUUGGCGUCGUGCUCAACACAUGCCAGCCGAACGGAAAGGCUACGCUGUUGUUGGGUGCUGGAGUGACGCACGGAUGAGUAACACGUGAGUUACCUACCCUAGACUUGGGGAUAACUACAGGUAACUUAGGCUUAUACAGGCUAGGAGCAUCUGCUGCAUCGUGGGGGUCGGAAUGGUUCGGCGGUCAGGAUUGGCAUCACGGCCUAAUAGCUUGUUAGUGGGGUGGUGGCUUCCCAGGGCUUUGAUGGCUAGCCGGCCUGAGAGGGUGACCUGCCACAUCGGGACUGAGAGACGUCCCAGACUCCUACGGGAGGCAGCAGUGGGGAAUAUUGCACAAUGGGCGGAAGCCUGAUGCAGCAACGCCGCGUGCGGGAUGACGGCCUUCUGUUUGUAAGCCGCAUUCGCCUGUGACGAAGCGGGAGUGACGGUAAUUGGUAAAGGAGCACCGGCUAACUACGUG